This 581-nucleotide long non-coding RNA is filed under the name Chrysolophus pictus (golden pheasant). Its description in RNAcentral is "lncRNA (ENSCPIG00010001658.1)". Lineage: Eukaryota; Metazoa; Chordata; Aves; Galliformes; Phasianidae. The record is from RNAcentral.
GCUCCAGGAGCCAUGGCUUUUCAGAUUCCAUUUCAUCCGAAACCAAACACGUCACUCUGAGAAGUUCGUGGAGAACAAGGCAAGGCUUACAUUCCCUGGAGGACUCUCAAAUAAAAAUGGAGAAAAACACAGCUUCCAGCCCUACAAAUGCAUGCAGGUCUUCAGUGGACCUCUCCGAGAUGGAAGGGAGCAGCACACAAACAAACUCCUUGGAGCAGAGCUCAGCGAGGAGCAGUGCCAGCACCAACUCCUGGAACACCCCUGAGAUGGGCUCCCGAAGGACCAAAAGUAACUUAAGUGCAUCUGAACUGCUGACACGCAGGAACUACACCAGUGAUCCCACCACAGCUUCCCCCUGGCACCGCACCACGUUACCUGAUGAAAGCAAAGAUUUUGUCUCCAGUUCCAGAAGAAAACAAUAUGGCUCUUCCGAGUACCUCUCGCAGGCUGACACGGCAGGGAGAAGGGCAGUCCUCCCCCUGGAGCUGCAGGACCCCACAUCCAGCCCCAAUACCCCACCAGGGCUCCAGGCAGAAGAUCAGGGUGCUUCCCGUGUUGGCCGGCCGACGUCCCGGAGAUGA